Molecule: ribosomal RNA, 1691 nt
Filed under: Melghiribacillus thermohalophilus
Lineage: Bacteria; Bacillati; Bacillota; Bacilli; Caryophanales; Bacillaceae
Description: partial 23S ribosomal RNA
Rfam family: Bacterial large subunit ribosomal RNA
Source: RNAcentral
UUGUACCUUGAAAACUGGAUAAGAACAUGAAGAUGAAGCAUCAAAAAGCGCUGAAUCACGCUAAGUUAAGUGAAGAAGGGCGCACGGUGGAUGCCUUGGCACCAGGAGCCGAUGAAGGACGGGACAAACACCGAUAUGCCUCGGGGAGCCGUAAGUAGGCGUCGAUCCGGGGAUUUCCGAAUGGGGCAACCCCCUGUCCGUCAUGGGGCAGGAUCCUUACCUGAAUCCAUAGGGUAAGGAGGGCAACCCGGGGAACUGAAACAUCUCAGUACCCGGAGGAGAAGAAAGCAACAGCGAUUUCCUGAGUAGCGGCGAGCGAAACGGAAACAGCCCAAACCAGUAAGCAUGUCUUACUGGGGUUGUAGGACACUCCACAUGGAGUUACCAAGAAAUCGGGUAGAUGAAUCGGUCUGGAAAGGCCAGCCAGAGAAGGUAACAGCCCUGUAGUCGAAACCCGGUUUCCUCCGGAGUGGAUCCUGAGUACGGCGGAACACGUGAAAUUCCGUCGGAAGCUGGGAGGACCAUCUCCCAAGGCUAAAUACUCCCUGGUGACCGAUAGUGAACCAGUACCGUGAGGGAAAGGUGAAAAGCACCCCGGGAGGGGAGUGAAAGAGAACCUGAAACCGUGUGCCUACAAGUAGUCGGAGCCCGUUCAUGGGUGACGGCGUGCCUUUUGUAGAAUGAACCGGCGAGUUACGAUUCCAUGCGAGGUUAAGGAGUGAAUCCGGAGCCGCAGCGAAAGCGAGUCUGAACAGGGCGACAGAGUAUGGGGUCGUAGACCCGAAACCGUGUGAUCUACCCAUGUCCAGGGUGAAGGUAAGGUAACACUUACUGGAGGCCCGAACCCACGCGUGUUGAAAAACGCGGGGAUGAGGUGUGGGUAGCGGUGAAAUGCCAAUCGAACACGGAGAUAGCUGGUUCUCUCCGAAAUAGCUUUAGGGCUAGCCUCAGGGAAGAGUGCUGGAGGUAGAGCACUGAUUGGACUAGGGGCCCUCAUCGGGUUACCGAAUUCAGUCAAACUCCGAAUGCCAGUGACUUGAUCCCUGGGAGUCAGACUAUGAGUGAUAAGGUCCAUAGUCGAGAGGGAAACAGCCCAGACCGCCAGCUAAGGUCCCCAAGUAUGCGUUAAGUGGAAAAGGAUGUGGAGUUGCUUAGACAACCAGGAUGUUGGCUUAGAAGCAGCCACCAUUUAAAGAGUGCGUAAUAGCUCACUGGUCGAGUGACUCUGCGCCGAAAAUAUACCGGGGCUAAACGCAUCACCGAAGCUGCGGACUGUUCUUCGAACAGUGGUAGGAGAGCGUUCUAAGGGCGUGGAAGCCAGACCGUGAGGACUGGUGGAGCGCUUAGAAGUGAGAAUGCCGGUAUGAGUAGCGAAAGAGGAGUGAGAAUCUCCUCCACCGAAAGCCUAAGGUUUCCUGAGGAAGGCUCGUCCGCUCAGGGUUAGUCGGGACCUAAGCCGAGGCCGAAAGGCGUAGGCGAUGGGAAACAGGUUGACAUUCCUGUACCACCAUCUUCCGUUUGAGCGAUGGGGUGACGCAGGAGGAUAGGGGAAGCGCGCGGAUGGAAGAGCGCGUCCAAGCAGUGAGAGUGGUGGAUAGGCAAAUCCGUUCACCGGAAGCUCAAGCUGUGAUGGGGAGGGAACUAGAGUACCGAAGUCUCCGCAUUCACACUGCCAAGAAAAGCCUCUAGCA